RNAcentral lists this long non-coding RNA (432 nucleotides) under Rosa chinensis. RNAcentral describes it as "sRNA RchiOBHm_Chr6g0244201". The record is from RNAcentral. Lineage: Eukaryota; Viridiplantae; Streptophyta; Magnoliopsida; Rosales; Rosaceae.
UCAUUGUUGAGAUCCCUCCACCACUGUCCAAUAAUUAUGAGAUCUAGUUAAAGGAAGCACAACCCCAUUCACUAGUCAUCUCAGCUCCUCCCUGCUUCACCAUCGUCAUCCCUACACUCAAACCAUCGUGGAUCAAGUCCAAAGAGAUACAGUGAUGCGGCUGACUCACCGCCUCUCAUCAGACUUGAACUGUUCCAACAAAAAAACCAACGCCCAUCGCACCAAAAGGUUGAGAAGACUUGUCCAAUUGCACCCAUAAAGCGCCGACAUGGCUAGAGGCCAACGCCGACUGGAAUAGGCCACCAAUGAGAGAGGUGAAGGAAAAAAAAAUGAAAACCCAGGUUAGGGUUUUAAGAGAGAGAAUAGAACAUAGAGAAAAGUAAUGGAAAAUAGGCUCGAGACCCUAAACUUCUCUGUUACAGCUUGCUGUUU